GACAGUUUGGCCGAGUGGUUAAGGCAGGCCUGCUAUUCAUCAGUCCGCUGAUCUAGCCAGCCUGUGGGUUCGCCCGCCUGGGUUCGAGUCCCAGAGGCGUCC
Aspergillus ellipticus CBS 707.79 is the source of this 102-nucleotide non-coding RNA. NCBI's taxonomy places the organism in Eukaryota, Fungi, Ascomycota, Eurotiomycetes, Eurotiales, Aspergillaceae. The record is from the annotation of a GenBank genome assembly.